Non-coding RNA from Electrophorus electricus (electric eel), 7446 nucleotides. The record is from RefSeq and is a predicted model, not a curated record. Lineage: Eukaryota; Metazoa; Chordata; Actinopteri; Gymnotiformes; Gymnotidae.
UUGAAUAGAGUCUUUUGAAUUAAUAUUAACAAAGGUGUUGAGGCUAAGUCUUAACUUAACAGUACUAAUUAUUUCCUCUAAUUGCCUUGCUCUCAGGGUGCGUGCUUGGAAAAGAUAAAACUUACUUAAAUUCUUUUUUUGGGGGGGGGGCGGCAUUACAGGUAGGCUCAGAAAGGCCCACCUCAGUGUUUUCCUAUAAACAUAAGCACAAAGCUUAAAUCUGUAGUCCUGUGUUUAUUGAGCUCUAGUUCUAAAAACAUGCUAAAAAGAAUCAUAGAAAUCCUCGGUCUAAUCAAAGUGGCUCGUCGCAAGCUGUACAGCGCUUCCCUGUUUCACAGUGCCGUGGCUGGUGAACCUAAGCAUAGAUCAGUAGAUGCUCACCGUGCUUUCCCCUGAACGUACAUUUCUCCCUUCGCCCUCUCUUCCAACAAGAACUCGUUAUUAUGCAUGAGUAGCAUUGUAGCCAUCUUAAAGUCUCAGUGGAGUAUGAGAGGAAACGUGCCAGUAAGAUUUAUUAACGAGCAGAAACACUGAAGGGCAUGAGCUGCUCACUGAAUGAGUGGUGACUAACUCAGGAAAUGAGCAAAGCAGAAUCAUUACGUUAAUGCCUGCAGUAUAGUGUCUUGUACAAUACACAGCCUGAAGUGUGUGGAAACCCCUCUUAUUAAUUGAGUUCAGAUGUUUCCGCCAUACCAAUAGCUGAUGGUUGUCUAAAAUCCAAGCGCAUAGUCUUGCAGUCGCCAUAGACAAACAUUGGCAGUAGAAUGGAUUGUAAUGGAGAGCUUACUGACUCUAAACCUGGCACUCUCCUAGGAUGCUGUAAGUCCAUGAAAUGCAUGCACAGCCAGAUCUACGUAGGUCAACUGUAAGCUGUUAUUGUGAAAUGGAAGCGUCUAGAGCACAACAGCUCAGUCAUGAAGUUGUGGACCACUUACCAAGCUGCUGGGUGCUGAAGUGUAAACAUUACUGUACAAAUACUGUGUUGCAUCACUCGCUGGCUGGCUGGCUGGCUGGCUGGCUGUGGAAGCAACAUGAGCACAAAGAUUCAUGAGGGCUUUGUGUCCAGAGCUGAGCAACUGCAUGCAAGUCUAAGCUUGCUAUCCAUAAUGGACUCUGGAGCCAAAGUGUGUGCUCUGGCGUGAUGUAUCUGGCAUCUGGCUGACUCUGGCUGCAUCUGGCUGUUUGGCAGCUACUAGCAGAAUGGUACCUACUGCAAUGCAUACUGUUAACUGUAAAGUUUGGUGGAAGGACAAUGGUCUGUUUGUUUGUUUGUUUUUGGUUCCAGGGUUUGGGUCCCUUAGUUAAAGUGAAGAAUAAUGUUAAUGCUACUGCAUACAGACAUUUUAGACAAUUAUAUACUUCCGAUUUUGUGGAGAGAGUUUGGGGAAGGCUCUUUUCUGUUCUAGCAUGACUGUUCCCCUGUGCACAAGACGAUGUAAAUAAAACAUACGGUUUGGUGUGGAGGAACUCUAGUGGCCUGCACAGAGCCCUGACCUCAAGCCUACAAAAGUCUUUUGGGUUGAAUUGGAAUGUGGCUUGCAAGCCAGGCCCUCUCAUCCAUAUACAUUUGGCCAUAUAGUGUGCAUUUACAUUUUCAUCUUUUGGCAGUUGCUUUUAUCAAGAAUCUUAUCCAAAGCAACUUGCAUAUUUAUGAGCGUGACAGUAUGUGUUCCUUCCUGAGGAUCCUUGACCUGGUGGUGGUGGUGGUGGUGUUAGAUGUCCCGAUCCCAUCUUAAAGAUCGUAUUGUUGCAGAUCAAGGCAUUUUUUAAACUGGUCGAUAUCGGCUUUAUUGAGCACGAACCCAAGCCCGCUCCUUUGUUUGCGCUCAUACGGGUGUGGUAAACGGAGAACAGGCCGCGCCUAAACUGUCUGCAGUGUGGGGAUACUUUAAAAUGGAGAAUAAAACAAGUGCAACAGAUGUUUGGUCACUUCUGCAAUGCAAGCAUUUCGCAAGGCAGUAGUAACAGAUCUAUGGACAAUACUACCAAUUUGAUACGCCACCAAAAAGUAAACACUCGGCGGAAUACAGUGAGUUUAGUCAGGUUAGCCAGGCAAAGGCUGCACCGAAGUAACACACACUAGAGCAAACAUUUUUAAAGAGGGGAUUUUUUUGGUAGAAAAUGCGGGUUUUCGUCGCCUUUUGGAGCCACGCUACGUCCUACCCUCUCGACACGGCUCUAGCGAAGCUUUACGACAAGGUCCGCGAACACAUACGAGGUCUUUUAGCAGAUGUGACUGCCGUGGGCUUUCCCACAGAUAUUUGGGCUUCUGAUGUUUAACCGAGGUCUUUACGUGGUCUCGCGGCUCACUGGAUCGACUCCACGCGCGGAAGUUCCGCGAGCCUCGCACAGCAGAGCGUGUAAAACGAGCCCGCGAGGAGAUGUUGAACACUUGGGAAGCGGACGAGCAACGGGUCCGUGUCGUUAUUUGGCACAAUGCGAGAAAUAUGAAAAAGCAGUGCACUAUUGUCAAGCAUAUGCAUUGGAUUGAUUUUAAUAACUAAUGUACUUGAAGUACAAGUGGACUGAGACUCAAUAUCGGAAGAUACUCAACAUUAAAUUACUCUGAUCGGAUCCGGACGUCCCUAAUAUAACUACUUAGAAUCUCACGGUGUUUAUAUGUGAAGUAAACUUUAAACGCAUACAUGCCCUGCAAUCUGUGGCCUAAUUACAAGAAAUAUGUGGAACUGGAACUUAAUAUUUGUUUAUACUACGUUUGAAUGUUGUAUGGUCUGAUAUGCUGUGUGUUGUGAUAGUUAUGGUAGAAACUUGGCUUUGCUAGUGGUAAAAUCCAGUUGAGUGGGCUGAGUGGAUUAUGAGGCCUUUGAGGUCUAACACCCAUAAAUGUAUUAUGUCUUUGCAUUUUGGCAGUAGGAGAAAUCUGAUGCGCACUCCGGACCUGAGUGAAUACCCUAAACAAAUCAUUACUGCUCUGUGGCUUUGUGGCAUCUAGUACUGCACACAUGAGCCACAUUUGCAGUUUAUAAAUAGAUUCCCAUCAAAACAUUAAAGAAGUGCAAGCCAUUAACUGGUAAUUAAGACCCACUCUCAGGAGACUCACUCUUGCUCUGUAGGCCUGGCAGUUCCCAUGUUCUUUCCUGCAGAUUUUAUAUGGACAAUCCAAAUUGGGUUGGUCGUGACAUCAGUCACUGACACUUGGUCACCUCCACAGAACAGCUUUACCUUGGUAUGGCACAAACCCCAUGUUUACUUGCGCGUUUUCUAAACCCAGCAAAGUGCUCCAUUCAUAUCAUGGGCAUUUUAGCCACUUAGCAUUGUUUAACUGUGUCCCAUAUCACUUCAUGUAAUCAAGUUGAAUGAGUUUAGUUAAAGAACAGAAUCAUGAAUGAAUGUCGGUUGAGAAGCAGAUAUAAACUGAUCUCCAGAGUUGGUUUCCGUUCUACAGCGGACUGUAUUUGCAUGAUUGAAGCCCACAGUGUCAUGUAUCUGAGCAGCAUAUGGCCGUCCAUAUGGCACAUGUGGCAGUCGCUGUGCAGAUGUGUUCCUACACAAACGUGCUUUUACAUGUGAUGCGGCGUGCAUUUAAAAUGUUGCCCAAGAGUGUAUACACUCUGCCAAAGCUGGAUUUUCACCAUGCCACCGUUCCACUGUGUCUCUUUGGAAGGUUCAGGCACGAUUGGCCAGACAGACCGACGUCAGAAGGCGGAGAAAAGGCUUCUCCAUCCCAGACUUGAGAAUGACGGCUGUUCAGCAUGCAUGGUCUUAAUCAGUAAAUACGUAGUUUCAUAAGGCUAUUUGUUGAUUUAUGGUGAUUAAUCUUCCUUUCUUAAAACCAAAGAUAUAUUAAAAAGGUGGCGUGUCUUUCUGAGCAAGCUGUGUUAAGCUAUUAAUUUCUCUCCAUAUGUCUUGACUGCUGGCUCUCUCUGACACAUUCUUACUGUCCCCUUUUAAAUGUCCCUAUCUAAAUGCAAAGGCUUCCAGGAGCCUCCUGAGUGUUGCGUCACAUUGCUCUUGUGUUUUUGCCCUUCCCAUUCAUGUACUGAGGUGAUGUAUCCUAACCAAGAACCAGUUAUGCUUUGUGUCUUAUUGGAGAGAAGUGUGUCGAGCCAGAGUUAAUUCGCAGUCUUGUUGCAGCAGUGCUGUGUAGGUGGUGUCGGUCAUACUGAUGUGGGGGGAUUGUGGCUGGGUGGCUGUAUUUUGUUUGUGUAGGAGAACGCGCAGCACGCUCGGCAUCUCCUCACAAAGCUGAGCGUUGACAGGAGUUAGAUGAAAGAGUUGGGUGGGACCACCAAAAGCUCUAUCUUCCACUCCAGUACCUCUACCAGGCUCAGAAGUGGAAGUGGAGGGACAGGACUGCCCCAGUGCCCUGUGGCUUUUCUCUGUGUGGGAAGUCAUCACACACUGAGAUAAGAGGCUUGCUUGACCUCUUCUUCCCAUCUGACCCAAUUUAUCAUUCUCGGAUAAAACACAGCAAACCUGAAUAAAGGCCUUGUCGCUUCGCUGCCGUGUGUGUGUGUUUGUGUUAUAUACUUUCUCUUUGCACAGUUUAUAUCCUUUCCCCUCCCUUUAUCCUUUGCUUUCCACCUUUUAAAAGUGCUUGACAAGUCUACCCAUUUCUCCCAGAUUGGUGUGUUUGCCUGCAGUGUCUCAACUACAAAAGCCACACAUUCACACUUCAGGUUUCAACACAUUCUACAGGCUUGACAGGUGCACACACACUAAAUAUAUGAUUCGAUAAGCAUGCUGCAGCCUAUGUGUAACUUGUGUUGCUACCACAGAGUAGAGGACCAGGCAAAAGCAGUACUUUCAGUUCACAAGCAGUACAGCAGCUGAAAUGGCCGAACAUGGGCAGAACUGUGCGGAAGACUGGGAAGGAUGGCUGGGCCCCCCUUUCGCUUGUCUCCUAAAUGACACGCCUGGUCCAGAAGGUGGACAAGCGGCUGCCAGUCGCGAAUGAGUACCUGCUGUUGUCAGGCGGCGCCCGGGAGGGCGUCGUGGACCUGAACCCUGAGGACCUGGGCGACUACGCUCGGGGUGUGGAUUUCGACCUUGACUUCACUCUGCUGGUGCCUGCCCUCAAGCUGCAUGACCGCAACCAGCCCGUGACCCUGGACAUGCGCCAGUCUCCACCGUGUCACUCCUGGCUCAGUCUGCGUCUGUGCGACCCCACCAUGCUCGCCCGCUGGGCCAUCUGCUGCGAGGACGAGGUCGGUGGGAGGCAGGGAGAAGACAAGGAUGAGGAUGAAGAGGGCAGUUCUGUGCUUGGGGCGAUCCCGCCGUCCCUGCAUGCCUCGCAGUCCUUGGACGGAUGCUACUUCUCGCCACUGCUUGUUGCGGAUUGGUUCUGGAACGUGGUGGGCGUGGCCGUGGAGGAGCUCCGGCGGAACCCCCAGAGGGGAAUCCCCGUUCCGGAUCGCGUGGAGCGCAACGGCCCCUUGACCACACUGAUCCUCAAGGCGGGCACCAGUCGCGUGCUCUACGACCUCCUGCCCGUGGUGUCGUUCCGCGGCUGGCCGGCGGUCGCGCAGAGCUGGCUCACCACCAACCAUUUCUGGGAUGGGAAGAUCACCGAGGAGGAAGCUAUCAGCGGCUUCUACCUGCUGCCGUGCUGCUCGCUGGCAGCCGGCGUUCCAUCCAGACCCGACCGCGAGUGGAGGCUGGCCUUUUCCCGGAGCGAGGUCCAGCUGAAGAAAUGCGUCCCCUACCCUAUGGCCGCUGCCUUCCAGGCUGCCAGGGCCGUGCUGUCCAGGCUGCUUGCGCGGCCGCGGAGCAGCCUGAGCCUCUACCACCUCCGCACGCUUCUCUUCUGGGCCUGCGAUCGCCUGCCUGCAGCCUACGUGAGCUGCCCCGACCAGGAGAUGCCCGCCCGCCUGUUCCUGGGCCUCCUGGAUGAGCUGGCACACUCCGCGCUGGGGAAAAACUGCCCCAACUACUUCCUCCCUCAGUGCAACAUGCUGGAGCACCUCACCGACGGUGCUGCCCUGCUGGUGGCCCGAAAGCUGGCGCACCUGCGCUCGGACCCGGCCGAACACCUGCGGGUGGCUCUGGAGCAGGCGCGGCAGGCGUGCGAGCUGAAACAAAAAGCGGCUGGGGCGAGUAACGGGCACGGGGCAUGGUCACCUGGCAGCGCCCCCUCCGGGGCUGCCUCGCCCCAGGACGAGCGGCUAGCCCAGAGGCUGCAGCAGCUGGUCACAGAAAACCCCGGCAAGUCCAUCUCCGUCUUCCUCAACCCUGACGACGUCACGAGGCCACACUUCCGCAUCGACGACAAGUUCUACUAGGAGGGUGGAGCCACGCCAUAAACACUACACAGAGCCAUGCCUUCUCUUCCUUCUUUAGCCACAGAGCUAAUGCUUACGCUAACCUUUUAAAAGCUGAGAGUACGCGUGCACACACACACACACACACACACACACACACACACACACACACACACACUCCUCCGCUGAGCUGAAGUGUCAGACUGAAUAACCCUGCAAGCUGGGUGCGAUUGGUGAUGUCUUUUUGCCAGCGCUACAAUCUGUAAGACAGCUCUGCAAAAUAUGAUUAAAGCUGCUACUGCAGAGACCAUCUGAGCCCCAUCAGGCCCCUCUGUCAGCUCCAUGGCUCUGCUACCAAAAGGAAAAAGAUUAAUCAUCAUAAAUCGCCAAACGGAGGGAGAGGCGAGCAGCUGGGAGACAUUGGAGCUGCGUUUGGGGCUGGAAUGCUGAUGGCUGGUGGACGGUCUGGACGUGUGUUGCUUUGAGACCUUACAAAGUCCUGCAACUUGCAGUGGGUCAUGACAGCUUGACUUAUCCAGUGCACCAAUGCUGUAAUUAAGACGUUUUAAUCUUGCUAUCUACAGUCGAGACAGUUUUCUAUUGUCCUUCAUGAGCAAGUGAAGGGGUGAUCUGAAACAAGGUACUUUUUGUUGUUGUUUUGUACUGCUCUGUGAAGAUGAAGGCCUUUCCAGCAUGUACGGCAUUGCCUGUGUGCCUCCCGCGCUCCUGUCAGCCCACAGCACUGAAGAGGCCGCGAGGGCUGGAUGCUAAAUGUUGAGAGGCGAGCGAGGGGAGUCUGUGGCGCCUCUCCCGCCGGGCUGGGCCUUUCUCUCUCUCCUGCACUAUCCAGCCGAGACCGGACCAGACCGAGGCCUGAAGCUCUUAACCGCUAAAACCUCAGUUCUGUUUCUCCCAGCCGUGAUGGGGUCUGCCGCACGUUUACUCGUGGUCCAACCGUUUCCAAUCGGACCAAACUACCUGCGCUGGGAUGGAGCUUCAUGCCACAAUGCUGUCUUUAUCAGGAUCCUGCUAACGUGAGUGAGGUUGACCUAGGCAGAUGGCGCUCGAUGACCCUGUGAUGUCUGCAUGUGUAGAUAUGGUUAAGGAAGUACUUGGCAGACUUGAAGUCUUGUAUUUUGUUUGAUUCCGCUAUUCUGGUGUGUGUUUGGGGGGGAAGAAAAGAGAACAAAAUAAGAAGAAAGGAAAAUUUUUUAUAUAUAUAUAA